GUAAAUAAAUGUACACUGCCAAAUUUUAUGCUCAAAAUUUAAAAAAACAUGAAUGCAGUUUUAUAUACAGUGUUCUGAAGUUGUGUGGGUAUUUUUAGUUCUCAGGGUAUUGUUUUACUUUGAUGCUUAUAUUGGAUUAAAAAAGAUGAAGUCAGUCACUUAGACUUAAAGUGAUUAAAGAGGAAGAAUUGUGAAACUCGCCUGAAAUAUUUACUUUUUCUCCAAUCUGAACUUGUCUGUCUUCAGCUCUCUGCUACUGAACGCUUUAUUUCCUAGAUUUUCUUUCUCUUCUGUACACAUCUGCAAACCUUGAGAUCAGUCUUCUCUAAGCAAUUCCAGAUGUCUCUACCUGCAGCUCUACAGAUCACCAGAGAUUAAAAUGGGGAUUCAGGGCAGAGGGUAAGUUUAGCUUUUUUGUUUCAUUCAUUUUGGUGUGUUUUGGUUUGGUUUGGUUGGAGCCUUUUUUAUUUUUGGUGGUGUUACAUUUUUUAGACAUUUUUGUUAGGGUAGCAAAUUCUAUUAAUCCAAUGCAUUUAUCAAAUAUAGGAGAUGUUAAUUAAAUAUUUGGGUUGAUUUGGUUGCAUUUUUUUGUAACAGUUGUUUUAACCAGCAUUUGAUAACUGCCUGUAUAACUCCUUCUGGAUACAGUCUGAGGGCCAUUGAUGCUUCUUUUACAUUAAAAUGCAGGUCCUGUAGAGCUCAAAAAUAACCAUACAGAGCCACACAAUUUGGUGCUCAAAAUCCAGCAGCUGUCUUUUCUGUAGCUGGUGGAGAGGAGACAGGGGAUUCCUAAAGUCUCUUGCCACUCCAAGGUCAGGCUGCUGUAAAGCACAUUGGAUAUAGUGCCUAACUGGCACAACAAAUGAAAAGGAUUUGGCCUCUUCAGCAUUUUUGCUAGGAUCUGGAGCACACUAAAGCAAAUGUCCUGGCUGUUCCCAUUUGCUGGG
This 947-nucleotide long non-coding RNA is filed under the name Zonotrichia albicollis (white-throated sparrow). RNAcentral's name for it is "lncRNA (ENSZALG00000010325.1)". Lineage: Eukaryota; Metazoa; Chordata; Aves; Passeriformes; Passerellidae. The record is from RNAcentral.